GAUGAAGAACGUAGCGAAAUGCGAUAAGUAAUGCGAAUUGCAGAAUCCGUGAGUCAUCGAAUCUUUGAACGCACAUUGCGCCCGCCAGCACUCUGGCGGGCAUGCCUGUCCGAGCGUCAUUUCAACCCUCAGGGCCCCUUCGGGGGACCUGGCGUUGGGGAUCGGCCCGCCCCCGUGCGGCGCCGUCCCCGAAAUAUAGUGGCGGUCUCGCUGCAGCCUCCCCUGCGUAGUAGCACACCUCGCACUGGAGAGCGGCGCGGCCACGCCGUGAAACCCCCAACUUCUGAAUGUUGACCUCGGAUCAGGUAGGAAUACCCGCUGAACUUAAGCAUAUCAAUAAGCGGAGGA
RNAcentral lists this unclassified non-coding RNA (348 nucleotides) under soil metagenome. RNAcentral describes it as "partial contains 5.8S ribosomal RNA, internal transcribed spacer 2, and large subunit ribosomal RNA". The stretch from base 1 to 119 matches the Rfam family "5.8S ribosomal RNA", at positions 35 to 154 of the family's 154-position model. The record is from RNAcentral.